AACGCGGUCUAGUUAUAAGCACUUUAUACUGUGAAACUGCGAAUGGCUCAUUAAAUCAGUUAUCGUUUAUUUGAUAGUACCUUACUACAUGGAUACCUGUGGUAAUUCUAGAGCUAAUACAUGCUAAAAACCUCGACUUCGGAAGGGGUGUAUUUAUUAGAUAAAAAACCAACGCCCUUCGGGGCUCCUUGGUGAAUCAUAAUAACUAAGCGAAUCGCAUGGCCUUGCGCCGGCGAUGGUUCAUUCAAAUUUCUGCCCUAUCAACUUUCGAUGGUAGGAUAGUGGCCUACCAUGGUGGCAACGGGUAACGGGGAAUUAGGGUUCGAUUCCGGAGAGGGAGCCUGAGAAACGGCUACCACAUCCAAGGAAGGCAGCAGGCGCGCAAAUUACCCAAUCCCGACACGGGGAGGUAGUGACAAUAAAUACUGAUACGGGGCUCUUUUGGGUCUCGUAAUUGGAAUGAGUACAAUCUAAAUCCCUUAACGAGGAACAAUUGGAGGGCAAGUCUGGUGCCAGCAGCCGCGGUAAUUCCAGCUCCAAUAGCGUAUAUUAAAGUUGUUGCAGUUAAAAAGCUCGUAGUUGAACCUUGGGUCUGGCUGGCCGGUCCGCCUCACCGCGAGUACUGGUCCGGCUGGACCUUUCCUUCUGGGGAACCUCAUGGCCUUCACUGGCUGUGGGGGGAACCAGGACUUUUACUGUGAAAAAAUUAGAGUGUUCAAAGCAGGCCUUUGCUCGAAUACAUUAGCAUGGAAUAAUAGAAUAGGACGUGCGGUUCUAUUCUGUUGGUGUCUAGGACCGCCGUAAUGAUUAUUAGGGAUAGUCGGGGGCGUCAGUAUUCAGCUGUCAGACGUGAAAUUCAUGGAUUUGCUGAAGACUAACUACUGCGAAAGCAUUCGCCGAGGGAUGUUUUUUUUAUUCAGGGAACGACACUUAGGCGAUCGAGGACGAUCAGAUACCGUCGUAGUCUUAAUCAUCAACGAUGGCAACUAGGGAUGAGGCAGUAUUAGAGAAUGACCACUGAGCCACCUCCCCCAUACUCAAUAUUAAAUGAAUAUUGUGGGGAAUUAGGGGGGAGGUGGCACAAUGAGAAUAGAAAUAGAAAAAAAAAAAGAAAAAAAGAGAA
This 1123-nucleotide ribosomal RNA is filed under the name Aspergillus glaucus. Its description in RNAcentral is "partial small subunit ribosomal RNA". It matches the Rfam family "Eukaryotic small subunit ribosomal RNA", at positions 55 to 1102 of the family's 1831-position model. The record is from RNAcentral. Lineage: Eukaryota; Fungi; Ascomycota; Eurotiomycetes; Eurotiales; Aspergillaceae.